UACGGAGGAUCCGAGCGUUAUCCGGAUUUAUUGGGUUUAAAGGGUGCGUAGGUGGUUUGAUAAGUCAGCGGUGAAAGUUUGCAGCUUAACUGUAAAAAUGCCGUUGAAACUGUCGGACUUGAGUGUAAAUGAGGUAGGCGGAAUGCGUGGUGUAGCGGUGAAAUGCAUAGAGAUCACGCAGAACUCCGAUUGCGAAGGCAGCUUACUAAGGUAUAACUGACACUGAAGCACGAAAGCGUGGGUAUCAAACAGG
Molecule: ribosomal RNA, 253 nt
Filed under: uncultured bacterium
Lineage: Bacteria
Description: partial 16S ribosomal RNA
Rfam family: Bacterial small subunit ribosomal RNA
Source: RNAcentral